GGGGAAAUAGCUCAGUUGGUUAGAGUGCUGGUCUGUCAUGCCAGAAGUCGUGGGUUCGAACCCCGUUUUCCCCG
Triticum urartu is the source of this 74-nucleotide non-coding RNA. NCBI's taxonomy places the organism in Eukaryota, Viridiplantae, Streptophyta, Magnoliopsida, Poales, Poaceae. The record is from Rfam.